UCCGCCGCCNUAGGAUGGGUCUGCGCCGGAUUAGGUCGUUGGCAAGGUAAUGGCUCACCAAGCCUUUGAUCCGUACGGGCCNUGAGAGGGGUAGCCCGAAGAAGGUCACUGAGACACGGACCCUAGCCCUACGGGGUGCAGCAGGCGCGAAACCUUUACAAUGCACGCAAGUGUGAUAAGGGAAUUCCAAGUGCUCAUGCUUUGCAUGGGCUUUUGCCAAGAGUAAAUAUCUUGGCGAAUAAGUGGUGGGCAAGACUGGUGCCAGCCGCCGCGGUAACACCAGCGCCACAAGUGGGGAUCAUAUUUAUUUGGCCUAAAGCGUUCGUAGCCGGCUUGACAAAUUCUUUGUGAAAUCGUUUUGCUUAACAUGACGACGUGCAGAGGAGACUAUCAAGCUUGAGACUGGGAGGGGUUAGAGGUACUCUUGGGGUAGCGGUAAAAUGUUAUAAUCCCAAGAAGACCACCUAUGGCGAAGGCGUCUGACCAGAACGGAUCUGACGGUGAGGAACGAAAGCUAGGGGAGCAAAACGGAUUAGAUACCCGAGUAGUCCUAGCCGUAAACGCUGCGAGUUAGGUGUUGUGUAUUCUUCGAGGAUAUGCAGUAUCGAAGCGAAGGCGUUAAACUCGCCGCCUGGGAAGUACGGUCGCAAGACUGAAACUUAA
Molecule: ribosomal RNA, 663 nt
Filed under: uncultured euryarchaeote
Lineage: Archaea; Methanobacteriati; Methanobacteriota
Description: SSU rRNA
Rfam family: Archaeal small subunit ribosomal RNA
Source: RNAcentral